RNAcentral lists this unclassified non-coding RNA (329 nucleotides) under Hevea brasiliensis (rubber tree). The record is from RNAcentral. Lineage: Eukaryota; Viridiplantae; Streptophyta; Magnoliopsida; Malpighiales; Euphorbiaceae.
GAUCAGCAGCCAAAUUACUAGCUUUCAGCAUAUCUGGAUGAGCAACACUGGUUGUUUGGGAACUAAUGGCUGUUUCCAGGUUGGAUAAUCUUAUCAAAUCUACAGGUGAAGCAGCAACAGUAUUUGAAUCCUUUUUAGCAGAUACAAAGGUCUCCUGCUGACUGGAGCCUGCUUCGUUAAAUUGGACAAUAUGCACACUAGACUGCUUGAACUGUUCAUGGAACACGGGUUGUUCCGUACCAACGAAAUCUUGCGCUGGAGAACUAUUUUGUACUCUUUUGCCAAUAUUUAUUUGAGGCUCUGGCAAGUCAACAGUAUUAAGAGGUCUU